UUCAAUGAAGCACUUAUUCUUUGCAAACUUCGAAUUUUCAUGACGAUUUGUGGAUUUAAUGAUUCAUUCGAUAUUUCAUGUUAUUUUGCAAUUAUGUGUCUUCAUCUCACUUAGCCUGCAAAACAUUCUGCACUUAGUUUUCAUACAAAAUAAUUAAAUGGUUUCUGAAAGUGUAUCUUUACUCUCCUUUGGCUAUGUAAGUUUACCAUCCGUCAAACAAAAUCUUUCUGUUUGGAGUGUCCCUCUUUUGACAUUGAAGUCCUUUUUUUUUUUCCUGGUUAAAAAGGGUCCAAGAGGCAGAAGGUAUAAUCAUUGUUGUAGUACGCAAUACCUUGAUGUUAUGGUAUUUAGAUCAAAUGCAAGUUCUCUUAUGUUCCAAUAGUAUCUGAGAGUUCAUAUUAACUGCAUGCAUACUAGGGCAGCUUACCUGCUCUUAAGUUAUCUUUCCUUUAUUUGAUAAUUUUUAUUCUGUUUCCAAAAAAGUGGAGAAACAGACAAAUUUGGAGUUAGUCGACCUUUCUCUUCUAUUCUGAUUAUUUUGCUUCAUUACAGGAUGAUACUGCAUUUGAAAAGCAAAGUUCUCUUUUCAGCCUUGCUGUUUCUGACAUAGUGCUGAUAAAUAUGUAAGAUUGUUUUGUUGGUUCAAAAAUCAUGUUUAUAACUAUUAAAAUGUAAUGAAGAUGUUUGGGCUUGUUAUAUUGUUUAUUUGAAUAAAACCUACACAAUUCAGGUGGUGUCAUGACAUAGGUCGUGAGCAGGCUGCAAAUAAGCCACUCUUAAAAACUGUAUUCCAGGUAACUUGUGCACUUGCUCUGUACAGGCAAUAAUUGGAAAUAUUAAUGUCUUACUGAUUUAUCUUUAUGAUUAACAGAUCAUGAUGAGAUUAUUUAGUCCACGCAAAACCACUUUGAUGUUUGUCAUAUGUGAUAAAACAAGGGUAUGUUCACCCUCUUCAACUUUUUUAUGAUUCCGUUGAAUGUGGUUUAAAAACUUAAUUUGAUCCUAUGGAAUGAUCCUUUGAUCUGACAGAGCAUUUUUUUCCUUAUAGACGCCUUUGGAAAAUCUAGACCCUGUUUUAAGGGAAGACAUUCAGAAGGUGCACCAUAUGGUGACUUAUUACUGUAUUAUUAUUAUAUUUUAAUGUGAUUGACUGCUAACCUUCAGUCUCUCACUGUAUCACUGACCCUUUUCUGAAGAUAUGGGAUGGGAUUCCCAAGCCUCAAGCUCACAAAAAGACUCCAUUAAGUGAAUUUUUUAAUGUAAGUUGCUAACUUGUUGAAUAACCCUAUCACGUAUUUACCUUGACGUUAUAUAACAUCUUCUUAAAUGAUUGAAUGGCAGGUUGAAGUUGUGGCUCUUUCCAGUUUUGAAGAGAAGGAAGAACAAUUUAAAGGGCAGGUUCUGGUUCUCAUUGAAUUCUUUAAAAUGACACUCAUGUUUUUGGAUGUCAUCAAUAUUUCCACGUAGUUCAACAGUAAGGAUUAUUGUUGCAGAAAGUAAUUGGAAAUUUUAUUUAUUUAUCUAUUGAGUGGGUUAUAUAUUGGCUUUUAAUGCUCAAAGAUGUAUCAUAUCCACACGAUUUGUUUCUGAAAUUAGUAGUUCAAUACAAGCAAUGUUUAUGGUAAUGAUAAUGCAAUUGCUGUACUUGUCGAUUCAGAUAAAAGUGACGGAUGUUGUUCAACUCACCUAAUAGAUGGAGAUGGUAAUUUCAAUGUUGAUGGAAUGGAUAAUUUCAUGAAGGAAGUUAAACUCGCUGAGUGUGGACUUUCUUAUGCCAUCGUCUCCAUCAUGGGCCCUCAAAGCAGUGGUAUGAAUUUUUAGCUGUAAAGAUACUCCUUUGCUGUAUUAUCAAUUUGGCUUUUACCGGACUCUGGGAGGCUCAAUAAACAUUUAUUCUUAAACUUAAAACCCUUUACUUGAGUCCUCCUUUUUCUACUAGCAUCCACUUCUUUGGGGCAUUUAAUUUGGGUAUCUUAGCAACCUAAAGAUUCCUGUUCCUUAACUUGUCAAUGUUGUGCACAUUUCUUAGUCUAUGCCUACUUUUAAAUUUCUUCUGUGAUUUUGACAGGGAAGAGUACAUUGUUAAACCACCUAUUUGGUACUAAUUUUAAGGAGAUGGAUGCUUUCAAGGGGAGGCAUGUACUACUUCUUACCUCUGAUGUUACUUCUUUUUUGCCUGCUAAUAAAUCGAAGCCUACUGACACAAAUUUCCUCAGGUCUCAAACUACAAAAGGUAUUUGGAUGGCAUGUUGUGUUGGGAUUGAACCUUGCACUCUUGUCAUGGAUUUAGAGGGCACUGAUGGAAGAGAACGAGGAGAGGUUUCAAUGAAGCACUUAUUCUUUGCAAACUUCGAAUUUUCAUGACGAUUUGUGGAUUUAAUGAUUCAUUCGAUAUUUCAUGUUAUUUUGCAAUUAUGUGUCUUCAUCUCACUUAGCCUGCAAAACAUUCUGCACUUAGUUUUCAUACAAAAUAAUUAAAUGGUUUCUGAAAGUGUAUCUUUACUCUCCUUUGGCUAUGUAAGUUUACCAUCCGUCAAACAAAAUCUUUCUGUUUGGAGUGUCCCUCUUUUGACAUUGAAGUCCUUUUUUUUUUUCCUGGUUAAAAAGGGUCCAAGAGGCAGAAGGUAUAAUCAUUGUUGUAGUACGCAAUACCUUGAUGUUAUGGUAUUUAGAUCAAAUGCAAGUUCUCUUAUGUUCCAAUAGUAUCUGAGAGUUCAUAUUAACUGCAUGCAUACUAGGGCAGCUUACCUGCUCUUAAGUUAUCUUUCCUUUAUUUGAUAAUUUUUAUUCUGUUUCCAAAAAAGUGGAGAAACAGACAAAUUUGGAGUUAGUCGACCUUUCUCUUCUAUUCUGAUUAUUUUGCUUCAUUACAGGAUGAUACUGCAUUUGAAAAGCAAAGUUCUCUUUUCAGCCUUGCUGUUUCUGACAUAGUGC
RNAcentral lists this long non-coding RNA (2934 nucleotides) under Olea europaea (common olive). Its description in RNAcentral is "long non-coding RNA (OEUR_LNC004555)". Lineage: Eukaryota; Viridiplantae; Streptophyta; Magnoliopsida; Lamiales; Oleaceae. The record is from RNAcentral.